CAUGCAAGAAACCAAACUUAGAAAGAGAACAUCUGAUUGGAUGGAUCAUGGUUGGUGUGGAGAUGCAGCAGGAAUGGUUGACUAUCAAUCUUGGUUAGCUUGAAAAAGAAAUUCAAUCGUGCAGAUUGUUCAGAUCAUUGCCAUGGUACCCAAAGAAGAGUAACCUAGCCAGACAAUAAUGGAUCAGCAAGUGAAAAACACUCAUGAAAAGACACAUAGAAUACACAAGAAUACAAGCACAGGCCAUUUUGCCUAAAUCCAGAUUAAAAAAUAUUUUCUAUA
Molecule: long non-coding RNA, 282 nt
Organism: Chiloscyllium plagiosum (whitespotted bambooshark)
Lineage: Eukaryota; Metazoa; Chordata; Chondrichthyes; Orectolobiformes; Hemiscylliidae
Source: RefSeq, a predicted model, not a curated record